GAAGGAAAAUGGUGAUUUACCGGAAAAUAAGUUAGUAUUAUGUUACAUGUAGAGUUAGAUACAAAGAAUAUUAAUCGUACAAGAAAGGAAUCGGUGUGUGUAUAUAGGAUAAGGUAUGCCAAAAUAGGGAAUACAAGAAAGUAUCUUCUUUUUAUAUCUAUAAUAUAUAUUUCCAAACCUUACUUACCAAAAGGAAGAUGUCUGUAUUAUAUGGGUCCAAAUUUGAUCGACCGUAAUUUAUAACGAGCAUGAUAGACGACCGAAUAUCUUUGAGUCGACGUCCCGAGGGGCACGAUCUCGGAGCAAAAGAAGAAAUGGUACGACCCCUGCAAUAGAACAAACCCAUUAGGAGACAUUAAGAAUAUUCAGUCCAAGAUUCUUUAUUUUUGGUUUUUACAACUGAGAGGAAUUCCUCUCUAGUAUAUAAGAGGGGCAAAAGCCUUGUAAUUGUUGGGAGAAAACUCUGGAAAACUUACCAAUAGAAUGAAAAGAAACUUUGCAACUCUCCUCUCUCUAUCUAUUACGAGGAGGGAUAGCCCAAUUUAUACAACCUAUAUUAUUUCAUUAUACAUAUUUCGACUUUCUCUUGUGAAAGGUCUCAAUAAUUUUUCAAAUUUCUUUGUAAGACGUACCAAAGAUUCUAAUAAAUAUUUGCUCCUGAGAUGAUACAAGCACUUUCGGAUUAGAUAUGCGGGAAACGUAGAUCUAAUUAUUAUGUUCUAAAAAUAUUUAAAAGAAAAAAUAUCAUGAGCCAAACAAUGUUUUACCUUUAGGUUACCAUUCUUUGUAACCUAGAUUAACGGUAAAACCAUACAUAUUGAUAGUAUCCCAAAUGGAGAGGGGAAUUUACAGAGCUUUUUGGCCCACUUCCUUUUGCUGUAGAAAAACUCUGUAAAAUGACAAAUCAUACAAGAAGGUGUAAGUUAAAUAAUUUCCAGUUUGCCGGAGGAACAGAGGCAUACUGUUGCAACAUUGAAACUGUCAGAGCAACAAUGCCGUAUGUCCACAGCAGAGAGAAUUUUCCAGUGUUGCAGACAUUCUAAUUUCUUACAGAAUAGUCGUAUGAAGAAAUAGAUAAAGAGUGCAGAAAGCAUAAUUUUUUACUCAGAGUGAAAGAAAAGUUUUGACAAGAGGGGUUGCUCUGAUGGUAAGCAACCCCCACUUUCAACCGAGAGGUUGUGAGNNN
Molecule: long non-coding RNA, 1186 nt
Filed under: Nicotiana benthamiana
Lineage: Eukaryota; Viridiplantae; Streptophyta; Magnoliopsida; Solanales; Solanaceae
Description: long non-coding RNA (NBEN_LNC017333)
Source: RNAcentral